RNAcentral lists this long non-coding RNA (208 nucleotides) under Lathyrus oleraceus (garden pea). Its description in RNAcentral is "Pisum sativum (pea) long non-coding RNA (PSAT_LNC021933)". Lineage: Eukaryota; Viridiplantae; Streptophyta; Magnoliopsida; Fabales; Fabaceae. The record is from RNAcentral.
CGGCUCCUACUGUGUGUUGUGAAAUUUGUAGUGGUCAGCACCAAAUUGUUUAUUGUUUUGCAACUCCUCAACAAGUGGAGGAAAUCAAAUUUUUGAAGCAGAAUAAUCCUUAUUCAAACACGUAUAAUCAGGGUUGGAAGAAUCAUCCCAACUUCUCAUGGAAAGAUAAAAAAAGGAACCGCUCCUUAACAUGGUUAGUACCAAACAC